AUGCCCGACGAGGAGGACGGCAUAGCUGAUGAAUGUGGCUCGACCUCUCUCUCUGCUAUUUGCGCUAGGAUGAUCCAGUCUUGUAGCUAUACAGUAGAGGUGAAGAAUAGAAGUGGCCAUUUGAUCAUCAAAUAUUCUGAGAGAAGUGAUAAUGUUGAUGUUCCAUGUACUCCUUCGAACCAAACACCAUCUAUAGCACUGCCCAGUCAACCAAGUAGCGUCAUUGAUGAAGCUAGUGUAUGCCUAACAGAUACAUAUCUUGACAAUCCGCAUGAAGAAUAUGAACAUGUUGGUGUAGAUGAGGAGGACCAGUACUCAAUUGGCAGUGUUGGUUCCGAUAGUGAUGAUGAGGUCAAAGAAAAAGAUAUACCAAAUAAUGAUUAUGUUGAGGAUAGCAGUGAUGAUGAGGAAUGGGUUGCAGAAGAUGCUAGACCGGAUGCUAUUCCAGAAAAUGCUUAUGACAAAGAAAACCCGCCAAUGCAUGUUGGCGCAAAGUACCCCAACAUUGAAGAGUUUAGGUUGGCAAUUGCUACAUAUGCUGUAAAGAAAGAGUUCGAAUUCAAGGUUGAAAAAAGUGAACCUACUCGAUUCAGGGCUUAUUGUCGCCGGGCAAAGAAGACGGAUUGUAAAUGGAGAAUUCAUGUUGGGAGGUUGGAUGACCAAGAAACUAUGGAGGUCAAAGUUCAUGUGCAGGAGCACACUUGUUCUAGCGCAAAGAAGAAAAAGAAGCAGAAAAAUGCUUCAAAGGCAUGGGUGUGUGAGAAAGUCAUGGACUGGGUAAAAGAAGAUCCUAGUGUUCGGCCGAUGGAGUUACGGAGGAGGCUACAUGACAAGUACAAGAUCAACGUCCAAUACAUGAAAGUAUUCCGUGGCAAAGGGCUAGCAAUGGCUAAGUUGUUUGGUAACUGGGAUGAUUCUUUUGACAAGCUAUAUGCUUGGAAAGCUGAGGUUGAGAAGAGGUCUCCUGGAAGCAUAGUUGCGAUUGACCACAUGGAACCUUACUUGGCGAUAGAUAGCACUCAUUUGACAGGCAAGUACAGAGGCCAAUUAGCUACUGCUUGUGCCGUUGAUGGGCACAAUUGGUUGUAUCCUGUAGUCUAUGGAGUUAUUGACUCAGAAACUACUGAAAGUUGGGUGUGGUUUUUGGAGAAGCUUCGUGAUGCUAUUGGCUCUCCCCCUGGUCUAGCUAUAUGUUCAGAUGCGGGAAAAGGGAUUGACACUGCAAUCGAACAGAUCCGCAAGCACAAAGGUCUCAUGUUGUUUCAGCUCAUGGACAAGAUCAGGAGAAAGAUUACUGUCAAGUUUGAGAAGAGGAGAAGGGUAGCUAGAAAAUUUCAAGGUCGACAUAUACUUCCAAGUGUCAUGAAGGAGUUGAAUGACAUAAGCAGGGGGCUGGACAUUGAAUAUGAGAGAAUAGAUGACAUGAUUGCAGAGGUAAGUGAGAGUGUUGCACUAGGUGGCAAGUGCCACGUCACUGAUCUAGCAAAUAGGACAUGCACAUGCAGGGCAUUUCAAGUCUCUGGGAAGCCUUGCAAACAUGCAAUUAGCUUUAUUAUUGGAAUUAGGGGGGUCACAAUAGAAGACUUCGUUGAUGAUUGUUACAGCGUUGCCAAGUUCGUUGCAGCUUAUGCUCCUAUUCUUCCUGGCCUAACUGACAUGUCUCAAUGGCCUAGUGUGAACAAAGAAUUCUUCUUGAAUCCCCCAAUCCUUAGGAGGGCCCCUGGAGGCCAAAGGUGCAGAGGCACAAAAGUGGUGCUGAGAAUAGCAAGGGAAAGGGAAAGAAAGGCCAUCACCAGUGUUCAAUUUGCAAAGCUUAUGGACAUAGAUGGCAAAGCUGCAAAGAUGCUGCUCCUGAAGCACUAG
RNAcentral lists this ribosomal RNA (1863 nucleotides) under Triticum aestivum (bread wheat). Its description in RNAcentral is "partial small subunit ribosomal RNA". Lineage: Eukaryota; Viridiplantae; Streptophyta; Magnoliopsida; Poales; Poaceae. The record is from RNAcentral.